Molecule: ribosomal RNA, 587 nt
Filed under: Bacillus thuringiensis
Lineage: Bacteria; Bacillati; Bacillota; Bacilli; Caryophanales; Bacillaceae
Description: bacterial SSU rRNA
Rfam family: Bacterial small subunit ribosomal RNA
Source: RNAcentral
UUUAUCGGAGAGUUUGAUCCUGGCUCAGGAUGAACGCUGGCGGCGUGCCUAAUACAUGCAAGUCGAGCGAAUGGAUUGAGAGCUUGCUCUCAAGAAGUUAGCGGCGGACGGGUGAGUAACACGUGGGUAACCUGCCCAUAAGACUGGGAUAACUCCGGGAAACCGGGGCUAAUACCGGAUAACAUUUUGAACUGCAUGGUUCGAAAUUGAAAGGCGGCUUCGGCUGUCACUUAUGGAUGGGCCCGCGUCGCAUUAGCUAGUUGGUGAGGUAACGGCUCACCAAGGCAACGAUGCGUAGCCGACCUGAGAGGGUGAUCGGCCACACUGGGACUGAGACACGGCCCAGACUCCUACGGGAGGCAGCAGUAGGGAAUCUUCCGCAAUGGACGAAAGUCUGACGGAGCAACGCCGCGUGAGUGAUGAAGGCUUUCGGGUCGUAAAACUCUGUUGUUAGGGAAGAACAAGUGCUAGUUGAAUAAGCUGGCACCUUGACGGUACCUAACCAGAAAGCCACGGCUAACUACGUGCCAGCAGCCGCGGUAAUACGUAGGUGGCAAGCGUUAUCCGGAAUUAUUGGGCGUAAAGCG